GACGAACGCUGGCGGCGUGCUUAACACAUGCAAGUCGAACGGAAAGGCCCUGCUUUUGUGGGGUGCUCGAGUGGCGAACGGGUGAGUAACAUGUGAGUAACCUGCCCUUGACUUUGGGAUAACUUCAGGAAACUGGGGCUAAUACCGGAUAGGAGCUCCUGCUGCAUGGUGGGGGUUGGAAAGUUUCGGCGGUUGGGGAUGGACUCGCGGCUUAUCAGCUUGUUGGUGGGGUAGUGGCUUACCAAGGCUUUGACGGGUAGCCGGCCUGAGAGGGUGACCGGCCACAUUGGGACUGAGAUACGGCCCAGACUCCUACGGGAGGCAGCAGGGGGGAAUAUUGCACAAUGGGCGGAAGCCUGAUGCAGCAACGCCGCGUGCGGGAUGACGGCCUUCGGGUUGUAAACCGCUUUAGCCUGUGACGAAGCGUGAGUGACGGUAAUGGGUAAAGAAGCACCGGCUAACUACGUG
Molecule: ribosomal RNA, 468 nt
Filed under: uncultured bacterium
Lineage: Bacteria
Description: partial 16S ribosomal RNA
Rfam family: Bacterial small subunit ribosomal RNA
Source: RNAcentral